Molecule: long non-coding RNA, 282 nt
Filed under: Homo sapiens (human)
Lineage: Eukaryota; Metazoa; Chordata; Mammalia; Primates; Hominidae
Description: HSALNT0370336
Source: RNAcentral
GUCACCCUGUGAAGAAGGUGCCUGCUUCUCCUUUGCCUUCCACCAUCAUUGUAAGCUUCCUGAGGCCUUCGCAGCAAUGUAGAACUCCUUCUACCAUCACUGCCAAGACCCACCAAAAUGGAAAAUCCAUGAAGGCAGGGACUUUGUUUUCUUCACUGCUAUAGAACCUAUGUCCAGAACAAAACUAAAGAUAACAGGCCUGCUAUGAUGGCUCACACCUGUACCUGGCAAAUUGGGAAGCCAAGGCAGGAGGAUCCCUUGAAGCCAGGAUUUCAAGACCAG